AUUGAACGCUGGCGGAAUGCUUUACACAUGCAAGUCGAACGAUGAACCUUAGCUUGCUAAGGGGAUUAGUGGCGAACGGGUGAGUAAUAUAUCGGAACGUGCCUUGUAAUGGGGGAUAACUAGUCGAAAGAUUGGCUAAUACCGCAUACGCCCUGAGGGGGAAAGUAGGGGAUCUUCGGACCUUACGUUAUAAGAGCGGCCGAUAUCUGAUUAGCUAGUUGGUGGGGUAAUGGCCUACCAAGGCGACGAUCAGUAGCUGGUCUGAGAGGACGACCAGCCACACUGGAACUGAGACACGGUCCAGACUCCUACGGGAGGCAGCAGUGGGGAAUUUUGGACAAUGGGCGAAAGCCUGAUCCAGCCAUUCCGCGUGAGUGAAGAAGGCCUUCGGGUUGUAAAGCUCUUUCGCAAGGGAAGAAAACUUACAUUCUAAUAAAGUGUGAGGCUGACGGUACCUUGAUAAGAAGCACCGGCUAACUACGUGCCAGCAGCCGCGGUAAUACGUAGGGUGCGAGCGUUAAUCGGAAUUACUGGGCGUAGAGCGUGCGCAGGCGGUUUGGCAAGUCAGAUGUGAAAUCCCCGAGCUCAACUUGGGAACUGCGUUUGAAACUGCCAGACUAGAAUAUGUCAGAGGGGGGUAGAAUUCCACGUGUAGCAGUGAAAUGCGUAGAGAUGUGGAGGAAUACCAAUGGCGAAGGCAGCCCCCUGGGAUAAUAUUGACGCUCAUGCACGAAAGCGUGGGGAGCAAACAGG
Molecule: ribosomal RNA, 753 nt
Filed under: uncultured Methylophilaceae bacterium
Lineage: Bacteria; Pseudomonadati; Pseudomonadota; Betaproteobacteria; Nitrosomonadales; Methylophilaceae
Description: bacterial SSU rRNA
Rfam family: Bacterial small subunit ribosomal RNA
Source: RNAcentral